Quercus robur (English oak) is the source of this 1933-nucleotide RNA transcript. RefSeq lists it as uncharacterized. NCBI's taxonomy places the organism in Eukaryota, Viridiplantae, Streptophyta, Magnoliopsida, Fagales, Fagaceae. The transcript has 2 exons. The record is from RefSeq and is a predicted model, not a curated record.
CACUAAAAGUGUACUAAUAAUAUAAAUUUACAUAAAUUGUAUUAAAACACCCUUAAUAUCUUCCACCAAUCCAAUUGUUUUAUGUUGCAGUUACUGUUUGCUGAUGAUUCUUUGUUGUUUUUUAGAAAGGAUAACAAUUCUGUUCAAAAUCUUCAACGCAUUUUGAAAUGGUAUUGCUCCAUUUCGGGUCAAUCCAUCAACCUGGCCAAAUUAGAUGUGUUUUGCUCACCAAACAUGCCUAAGGAGGAGCAAAUAUGCCUAGCCAGAACCCUUCAGGUCAAUCUAGUUCAACAUCCCAGCAAGUACCUUGGUGUUCAAUUCAAGUUGAGAGGUAAUAGAGUUGCUGACUUUCAGUUUCUUAUUGAUAAACUUAAAGCAAAACUUCAAGGAUGGAAGAUGGAACUCUUUUCUCAAGCUGGUAGAACAACAUUAAUAGCCUCUGUUUUGCAAUCCCUUCCUUUAUAUUCCUUUUCAUGCUUUAAAGUUCCUGACCAUGUUUGCAACAAAAUUGAUUCUAUUGUUCGCGCUUUUUGGUGGGGUCAUGAAUAUGGGGAGAAGAAGCUUCAUUUACUUAAUUGGGAUAGGAUCAGUCAACCUAAGGGGAGAGGUGGGUUGGGCAUUAAGAAAUUCAAGUACAUGAACCAAGCUAUUCUGAAUAAACAAUACGGGAGAAUUUGUCAUAAUCCCCAAUCCCUUCUAGCUAAAACCUUUAAGGCCAGGUAUUUUCCUACCUGUUCUAUCAUGACUAUAGGUCUAAGCCUCAUCACUCUUGGGUUUGGAGAAAUAUCAUGAAAUAGGAAAACCAUGUUUUAAGAGAAGGAAAGUGGAGAGUUGGAGAUGGGUACAAUAUUCCUCUCACUCAUAGGUACUAGUUUCCUCAUUCAACUCUGAAUUUAUCACAGCAUCAUCUACCUACAGGUACUGUGGGGGAUUUGAUUGACCACAAUACUAGAAGUUGGAAAAUGGACUUGGUUAGAAGGCUGUAUCUGUUUUCCCAAGCCUUGAAAAUUUUCAAAUUCCAAUUUCUAAGACUAAUUCUAUGUAGGAUAACCUUCUUUGGAGGUCCUCUAAGAAUGGGGAGUACCAAGUAAAGAAAGCUUAUGAGCUUUUAACUAGAGAUGAUGCAAGUCACCCUCGGUAUUUUCAAGCUAAUAUGGGAUGGUGGAGAACUUUUUGGAAGAUCAAAGUGCCUCUGAAAAUUAGUACUUUCAUCUGGAAACUACUCCACAAUUGUCUUCCUACUUUUCUUCAUCUUCAUGCCAGAGGUACAGGGACUCUCUCUCAAGAAGCAGCACCUCAGCAGACAGAGAAGGCAGAUGCACCAGAUCAGAGGGGCAAUCUGCGGCAGGGGACUGGCAGCUAAUUAUCAAGAUUGCAGGAGUUAGAAGCAGGAGACCAUAUAGAAAUGGCACUGCUUAUGAAGCUCUAACAAUUCAGGGAGAAAGGGUGUUUUUUGGAGUGAACAGUAGCAAUGCUAGAACAUCAAUUGGGGCACUGUUGGAGGCUGUGGUUGAAGCUGGUAUGGCAGCUAAGGACCAAGGUUUUCACCAUGUUUUGUAUCUCACUGACAGCAGGAAACUUUUGCAGACCUUCAAGAUGAAAACAGCUUCGGAUUGGCUUGAUAGUACUAGACUAGCCGAUCUGAGUUUUUUGUCUGCUUCUGGUUUUCAUUGUGAUAUGCUUUGUGUUCCCCAUGUGGUUGUUAAAGAGUCUUGGACUGUAGCUAAAUUGGCAACGCGUGAGCCAAUUCAUUUUUGUUGGGUUUCUCCAAUUGCUGCUGGUAUGAUGUAACCUGUACUGUAUAUGUUUUUCUCCCUUGAAUGGUAUGGAAAAAAUGUUGCAACUUCCUCCUCAGCUUUAUCUUCCCCAAAUGUUAGAAUUAGGUUCAAUGUAACAAAUGAAUCAUAUAGUGACAGUAAGAAAUACAGUCUAA